GUUAAUGUAGCUUAAUUUUAAAGCAAGACACUGAAAAUGUCUAGAUGGGCAAGUAUAACCCCAUAAACA
This 69-nucleotide transfer RNA is filed under the name Saguinus bicolor (Brazilian bare-faced tamarin). Its description in RNAcentral is "tRNA-Phe". It matches the Rfam family "tRNA". Rfam says of the family: Transfer RNA (tRNA) molecules are approximately 80 nucleotides in length. Their secondary structure includes four short double-helical elements and three loops (D, anti-codon, and T loops). Further hydrogen bonds mediate the characteristic L-shaped molecular structure. tRNAs have two regions of fundamental functional importance: the anti-codon, which is responsible for specific mRNA codon recognition, and the 3' end, to which the tRNAs corresponding amino acid is attached (by aminoacyl-tRNA synthetases). tRNAs cope with the degeneracy of the genetic code in two manners: having more than one tRNA (with a specific anti-codon) for a particular amino acid; and 'wobble' base-pairing, i.e. permitting non-standard base-pairing at the 3rd anti-codon position. Lineage: Eukaryota; Metazoa; Chordata; Mammalia; Primates; Cebidae. The record is from RNAcentral.